UGGAGGGUUGGAGACAAACGGUGGACAGACAAGGCAGACGUUCACAAGCUCAGACACAGGGACAGAAUUCACUUUUCUGAAUCUCUGCAGUGAAGCUCUGGUGGGACCAGGGAGAGGAGGCCCAGAUGAAGAAUCCCGGUGACCUCUGAGGCUUCGCUUUCACUUUCAACGAUACAAGAGCAUCCUGGUGGUGCUUUCGUACAAGAGCCCACUAAAUAUCACUUCCUCUGAGGGAACAGAGGCUAGAAAACCCCUUUUCCUGGUUGGGCCAAACAUGAGGUGCUUCCUGGUUUACAAGGGGAGCAGCCCAUCAGUCCCUGUGCCUACGCCCCCCCUCCCCCGCAUCCCAUGCCUGGCUCACUUCUGACGCCCUUGCUCACUCACUUCGGGCAGCAGAGGAAAAGAGCAGAAGCUUUGGAUUCUGGCAGCUGGACCUCCCGUUGCUGCCAGGAUGAACCCUGGCCAGGCAUGGCGCCUCCUUGCAGCACAGAGCUGGCUUUGCCUGGAUCUGAAGGAGGAGUUUUCCUCAGGGCCCCGGAUGUCUCGGCUUUGCGCUGUGCCGGGCGGACCUGAGAGAGAACCAGAGCGCAAGCGUACUUUGCAUUUGACGGCAGAGAGAAAGGGAGCGAGAGAAAGGAAGUCCUCCCGGAAAGGACAGUGAAGGCAGUUCCUGCGCUGGGGACCCGGACCCUGAUCCCUCUGGAAAUUCCAGAAGAAUAUCCUGCAUGGGGAGAGGACUCCAGGGUCUUGACUGGGGUCUGAUGGGGUAUUAAUGGAGCGAUCCCACAUUCAUUGCGUGAGGCUUGCUCUCACUUUCUGCCUCUGCUUUCUCUGUCGGGGUAAUGAAGGUGCUGGCCGCAGGGAGCUCUGACACCUGCAAGCAGGAUGGGUGGGGGCAGGGCUCGGUGUCUUCUGCUACAGGAGAUUCUGAAGAAGGAAGCCAAGGUCUCUACCUAUGUUCUCCUCGUGGAGUGUGAGACAUCCAAGUAACACCCUCAAUUCUUCUGAAAUUGCCUUUUGGUUGCUACAGUGUGUCCUCAGCCGGGCACGCCAGCAGCCUGGACCACGUGGGUAGCUAACUACUCUGUGAGGCUCUCGCCCCUCGUGUCCGCACCACACCGGAGACGUGUCCGCUAUUGUGCUCCGAGCACUGGGUCGG
RNAcentral lists this long non-coding RNA (1159 nucleotides) under Ursus maritimus (polar bear). Its description in RNAcentral is "lncRNA (ENSUMAG00000020754.1)". The record is from RNAcentral. Lineage: Eukaryota; Metazoa; Chordata; Mammalia; Carnivora; Ursidae.